CGAUUACGGGUAGCCGGCCUGAGAGGGCGACCGGCCACACUGGGACUGAAACACGGCCCAGACUCCUGCGGGAGGCAGCAGUGGGGAAUAUUGCGCAAUGGGCGAAAGCCUGACGCAGCGACGCCGCGUGGGGGAUGACGGCCUUCGGGUUGUAAACCUCUUUUACCACCAACGCAGGCUCGAAGUUUUCUUCGGGUUGACGGUAGGUGGGGAAUAAGGACCGGCUAACUACGUGCCAGCAGCCGCGGUAAUACGUAGGGUCCGAGCGUUGUCCGGAAUUAUUGGGCGUAAAGAGCUCGUAGGCGGCGUGUCGCGUCUGCUGUGAAAGACCGGGGCUUAACUCCGGUUCUGCAGUGGAUACGGGCAUGCUAGAGGUAGGUAGGGGAGACUGGAAUUCCUGGUGUAGCGGUGAAAUGCGCAGAUAUCAGGAGGAACACCGGUGGCGAAGGCGGGUCUCUGGGCCUUACCUGACGCUGAGGAGCGAAAGCAUGGGGAGCGAACAGGAUUAGAUACCCUGGUAGUCCAUGCCGUAAACGUUGGGCGCUAGGUGUGGGGACUUUCCACGGUUUCCGCGCCGUAGCUAACGCAUUAAGCGCCCCGCCUGGGGAGUACGGCCGCAAGGCUAAAACUCAAAGGAAUUGACGGGGGCCCGCACAAGCGGCGGAGCAUGUUGCUUAAUUCGACGCAACGCGAAGAACCUUACCAAGGUUUGACAUCACCCGUGGACUCGCAGAGAUGUGAGGUCAUUUAGUUGGCGGGUGACAGGUGGUGCAUGGCUGUCGUCAGCUCGUGUCGUGAGAU
This 801-nucleotide ribosomal RNA is filed under the name uncultured Nocardiopsis sp. RNAcentral's name for it is "bacterial SSU rRNA". It matches the Rfam family "Bacterial small subunit ribosomal RNA", at positions 274 to 1073 of the family's 1533-position model. The record is from RNAcentral. Lineage: Bacteria; Bacillati; Actinomycetota; Actinomycetes; Streptosporangiales; Nocardiopsidaceae.